CCUACGGGGUGCAGCAGUGGGGAAUUUUGGACAAUGGGCGCAAGCCUGAUCCAGCUAUUCCGCGUGUGGGAAGACGGCCUUCGGGUUGUAAACCACUUUUGUAGAGAACGAAAAGUCUAUUGAUAAUACCGAUAGAUGAUGAUGGUACUCUAAGAAUAAGCACCGGCUAACUACGUGCCAGCAGCCGCGGUAAUACGUAGGGUGCGAGCGUUAAUCGGAAUUACUGGGCGUAAAGGGUGUGCAGGCGGUUUUGCAAGAUGGAUGUGAAAGCCCCGGGCUUAACCUGGGAAAGCCAUACAUGACUGCAAGACUAGAGUGCGUCAGAGGGGGGUGGAAUUCCAAGUGUAGCAGUGAAAUGCGUAGAUAUUUGGAAGAACACCGAUGGCGAAGGCAGCCCCCUGGGACGCAACUGACGCUCAUACACGAAAGCGUGGGGAGCAAACAGGAUUAGAUACCCUAGUAGUC
RNAcentral lists this ribosomal RNA (465 nucleotides) under uncultured bacterium. Its description in RNAcentral is "partial 16S ribosomal RNA". It matches the Rfam family "Bacterial small subunit ribosomal RNA", at positions 338 to 795 of the family's 1533-position model. The record is from RNAcentral.